AAUAAGGUGCUUGAUUAAAAGGUUAUUUUGAUGUAAUAAAAUAUGUAACAUAGUUACCCUUAUUA
Molecule: transfer RNA, 65 nt
Filed under: Stheneboea repudiosa
Lineage: Eukaryota; Metazoa; Arthropoda; Insecta; Phasmatodea; Lonchodidae
Description: tRNA-Ile
Source: RNAcentral